This is a long non-coding RNA of Lycium ferocissimum, 248 nucleotides long. RefSeq lists it as uncharacterized. NCBI's taxonomy places the organism in Eukaryota, Viridiplantae, Streptophyta, Magnoliopsida, Solanales, Solanaceae. The transcript has 2 exons. The record is from RefSeq and is a predicted model, not a curated record.
AUAAAGAACAUCAUCAUAAUGACAGCGCCAAAUCCACGGUGGAACUAGCAAUGAACCUAAUUUUAUUAGCUGAUGAUGGAGGAGAUGAUGUCGGUACAGAAACACCAGAAUGAGGCAAUGAAAGUAAACAAUGAACCCGACUGGCUAUUUAUGUAAAGAUCCAUCAAAAUUAGACAGUUUAAACAAGAAUGCCUCUCAACCAUGAUUGAACAAAUCCAAUACAAUAUAGAAUCGAAACAAUAAUUUUU